RNAcentral lists this ribosomal RNA (349 nucleotides) under Geraeocormobius sylvarum. RNAcentral describes it as "partial large subunit ribosomal RNA". The stretch from base 214 to 349 matches the Rfam family "Bacterial large subunit ribosomal RNA", at positions 2473 to 2608 of the family's 2925-position model. The record is from RNAcentral. Lineage: Eukaryota; Metazoa; Arthropoda; Arachnida; Opiliones; Gonyleptidae.
UUUUUUAAUUGAAAGCUGGAAUGAAGGGUUUAUACUAAGGAGAUGGUUUUAUUUAAUUAACUUGAAUUUAAAUUAAAAGUAAAAAUGCUUUUAUAAAAUUUUGGGACGAGAAGACCCUAGAAGCUUAUAAUUUAAAAAUUUUUGGUUGGGGUAACAUUUGAAGAUAAAAAUUUUUAAAGUAUUUAAAAUUUAUAAAACUAAAGUUACUCUAGGGAUAACAGCAUAAUUUGAUUAACAAGUUCUUAUUAAUAAUCAAGUUUGUGACCUCGAUGUUGAAUUAAUUUUUACUUUUGGUGAAGGAGCUAAAGGGGGGUAGUCUGUUCGACUAUUAAAAAAUUACGUGAUCUGA